CCAGCAGCCGCGGUAAUUCCAGCUCCAAUAGCGUAUAUUAAAGUUGUUGCAGUUAAAAAGCUCGUAGUUGAACUUCUGUUUGCGCUGAAGCGUGGCUUGCCAGCUUGAGUGCAGACAUCCGUUUGCAAACCUUAUUCGUCCUUUACUGGUUCGAUAAGGGGAGUAGACAUUUUACUUUGAAAAAAUUAGAGUGUUCAAGGCAGGCAAUGGUCUGAAUACAUUAGCAUGGAAUAAUGGAAUAGGACUCUUGUCCAUUUGGUUGGUUAUUGGAUAGGAGUAAUGAUUAAUAGGGACAAUUGGGGGCAUUAGUAUUUAAUUGUCAGAGGUGAAAUUCUUGGAUUUAU
This 344-nucleotide ribosomal RNA is filed under the name uncultured eukaryote. RNAcentral's name for it is "SSU rRNA". It matches the Rfam family "Eukaryotic small subunit ribosomal RNA", at positions 567 to 929 of the family's 1831-position model. The record is from RNAcentral.